CCUACCCCAAUGAAGAUAGAAUGUCUCCAUGAGAAAAGAACUCCAUCUUUCUGUCUGUGGCAGGGGAAUCCCUGUCCCUCUUCCAGCCUUACCUCACCCCCACCCCCAUUGUUUGAAGGAGAAGGAAUGUGUUGUUCUUCAGACAACGUAAAGAAUAUGUGCAGCUUCUGGGGAGCGACAACAGCUGAGAACCCCACACUGGUUCUGGAUGAAAUUCAAUGCGCGCCGACCUAAUCGCCAUGACCGGGAAUUUGGAAGGAGUCUGAAGCGCCUUCGUGUUAUUGGACAAACACUGCCUCUUCCCAAGCAGGCUGGGGCAUUGCGGUGAAAGGCCUUUGAUAAGAAGAGGCAGGCCCCUGGGAGGCGAGGCGAGCCACCCACCACUUUCUUAGGCGCUAUUGUCCCAGGCUGGGGAUUGUGAUGUGAGGCUCCGGGUGCACACAAUACCGCACCUCCCGCAAUGGGCCAUUCAUUGGGCCUCAAGGUUCCCUGAUGGGAGGGAGCCCGUUGACCCCGGAUAAUAGAUGAAAGUGUUUCUCACUUGCCUUCGCCUCCUGACCUUUUGCCACCAUUUUUCAUGCACUGUCUCCUCUCCAGCCAGACAGGCGAAUUCUUCCUCUGAUGCUACAGGCCGGGUGACCCUCUCCUGUAUGCAUGCCAAAGCGGGUUGCUUGUGGAGGACAGCCAGAGGAGACCUUGCCUAAUGUGUCCAAAGCAAGCCAGAGUCAUUUCCUCCCCUAUCCCACUCCUUGCAUUUGUAUAUGUAUGCAUAAAUGUUUGUGAACAUAGAUAGAUACCCGCUUCUUGCACCAGUACUGGACCUGCAUACCAAAAAUUCAAACCGGUGAGUGUUCAUUUGCUCGUUUUGCUUCUCUGAUGUCUACUCUCUCUGACUCCAGGUGGAAAAUAGAUUCAAAUUCACUGCA
Long non-coding RNA from Mastomys coucha (southern multimammate mouse), 926 nucleotides. RefSeq lists it as uncharacterized. The transcript has 2 exons. The record is from RefSeq and is a predicted model, not a curated record. Lineage: Eukaryota; Metazoa; Chordata; Mammalia; Rodentia; Muridae.